GUAGGAGAACAAUUUAAAGAUAGAAGCCCUUUAAAUGUAAGAAGGAAAGAGAUUUUGUUUAGUUGAUAAAUGAAGAAAUGGAGGUAGUUUGGAAGGUUUAAUAUAUGUAGCUAUAUGGAGAGAGACUUUUGUAAUUCUUCAAUUUUUAUUAUACAAGGGAUCACUUUGGUACACACUUGGGCUCACACUUUACUUCACUCCUCUUUGUACAUCCUACAAAUGAGGAGGUCUUCCCCUAUUUAUAGGCAUCAA
RNAcentral lists this long non-coding RNA (252 nucleotides) under Nicotiana benthamiana. RNAcentral's name for it is "long non-coding RNA (NBEN_LNC032148)". Lineage: Eukaryota; Viridiplantae; Streptophyta; Magnoliopsida; Solanales; Solanaceae. The record is from RNAcentral.